UACGUAGGGGGCAAGCGUUGUUCGGAUUUACUGGGCGUAAAGGGCGCGUAGGCGGCGCGGUAAGUCACUUGUGAAAUCUCUGAGCUUAACUCAGAACGGCCAAGUGAUACUGCAGUGCUAGAGUGCAGAAAGGGCAAUCGGAAUUCUUGGUGUAGCGGUGAAAUGCGUAGAUAUCAAGAGGAACACCUGAGGCGAAGGCGGGUUGCUAGGCUGACACUGACGCUGAGGCGCGAAAGCCAGGGGAGCAAACGGG
RNAcentral lists this ribosomal RNA (253 nucleotides) under uncultured bacterium. RNAcentral describes it as "partial 16S ribosomal RNA". It matches the Rfam family "Bacterial small subunit ribosomal RNA", at positions 524 to 776 of the family's 1533-position model. The record is from RNAcentral.